Chanos chanos (milkfish) is the source of this 241-nucleotide long non-coding RNA. RefSeq lists it as uncharacterized. The transcript has 3 exons. The record is from RefSeq and is a predicted model, not a curated record. Lineage: Eukaryota; Metazoa; Chordata; Actinopteri; Gonorynchiformes; Chanidae.
AAGUGCCAGAAUAAGCAACAGCGGGGCUGGGAUGAGAGAGCCUUUCCCAGCCUUCAUUCACCACACCAAGCUCUGAAGGAGAAGCACCUGCCGUCCGUAAUACACUGCCAGUUCAGUCUGACACACAGGACAGACAAGAUGAUAGCGACAGCCAGAGUCAUAGCCGUCCUGCUGAUCUCUGCCCAGUUACAGCUCACAGCUACUACUACUACAUCACCAGCUACUACUACUACAUCACCAG